UGGACAGGCUUAACACAUAUGCAGGUAUUCUAGCUCCUUAUUUGCUUGUUUACCAGUUAACAUAAUGUUGUAGACACCAAAUAGUUUGCCUUUUUCUUUCUGUCAAGGUAGGGCUUCGUUCUUUUUUAUAAUGUGUUUUCAAGUCCUCACUUGGUUGAACAAGGAUCUCAAAUCACAGCAAUCUGACUGCACAAGAAAUUAUAAAUGAAUAUGUUAGGUUUUUAGAGUUUUUGGGGAAUAAUCCAAAAGCUGUUUAUUCUUAUUUCUAAACAAUUAGUAAGGUGUUAUUCUAUCUAUUUCAGUUCAAUGGCUGGAGAAGAAGA
This 323-nucleotide unclassified non-coding RNA is filed under the name Hevea brasiliensis (rubber tree). Lineage: Eukaryota; Viridiplantae; Streptophyta; Magnoliopsida; Malpighiales; Euphorbiaceae. The record is from RNAcentral.